UUUUUUUUUUUUUUUUUGAGACGGUCUCACUGUUGCCCAGGCCCGCAUGCAGUGGCGUGAUCUCUGCUCACUGCAACCUCAGCCUUCCAGGCUCAAGCAAUCCUCCCACUUCAGCCUCCCGAGCUGAAGUAGAGGAUUUCCUGAGCCCAGGAGCUUGAGGCUGCAGUGAGCCAUGCUCAUGCCCACUGCACUCCAGCCUGGGUGACAGAGUGAGACCCAUCUUUAAAAGAAAAAUAAAUAAAUAAAUUAAUUAAUUAAUUAAAGAUUAAACAGUAGGUGUUAGAUGUUGGCAGAAUUCUAUUGAAAGGUUUCAGAGAUGCUAGGUGUGGUGGCUCAUGCCUGUCAUCUCAGCACUUUGGGAGGCCAAGGCAGGAGAAUCAUUUGAGGCCAGGAGUUCGAGACCAGCCUGGGCAACAUAGCAAGACUCUUUCUACAAAGUUAAAAAAAAAAAAAAAAGGUUUCAGAGCUCACAUGUAAUUGCAGUGAUUCUGGAGGCCGAGGUGGGAGGAAUGCAUGAGCCCAGGAUUUGGAGGUUGCAGUGAGACAUGACCACACCACUGCACUCCAGCCUGGAUGACAGGGAGACUCCAUCUUUUUAAAAAAAUAAUAAGAAGAAUAAAUAAAUAAAUAAUAAAGCUUUCAGAGGCUGAGUUAGGGUCUCACUUUAAUUUGAGAAGUUAGGAUGGCAGCUGGAAGUGACCACCUACUCCUCAGUAUUAAUAGUCACCACUCUUAAAAAUAGUCACCCCACCACAGAUGGGGCCUCAAGUUACCACAGGUGUUAGUCUUGAAGAGUAAUGUCCAAAAGAAAUAUAAUUUGAGCCACAUCUGUCAAUUGUCUAGUAACUCCACUAAAAAAGCAAAAUGGAACAGAUGAAAUUCAUUUUAAUAUUUUAUUUAGCCCAAUAUAACAAAAUAUUAUUUCAAUAGGUAAUCAAUAUUAAAAUUAUUAAUGAAAUAUUUAACAUUUUCUUUUCAUACUAAUUCUUGGAAACAUGGUGUUUAUGUCAUAUAGCACAUCUCAAUUUGGACUAGCUGCAUUCAAGUGCUCAAAUACCCAAGCAGCUCUACAAGAUGCUAAUGAGCAAGGAAAGUAGCUUAAUUUAGUGGAAAUCCAGAAAUGCCAAGGUUGGAAAUACAGUUUCUCAGGGGUCUGGAACAGACUUUGAAAUCACUAGUCCAAAUACUAUUUGAUAUUUGCAUCUUGUCCUCAACGUUCCUAUCACGGAGCCAUCCAAGACUAGUCCUUGACUCACACUCCAGGGAUGGUGAGCUCACUGUUUCCUGAGGCUAGAGUGUCUUCAACUCAAAAAAGUUCUCAUUCCAUUAAGGCACGUAUGUUUUCUUACAGUGUCCACCCUGGUUAGGUGGGUUCUUGGAGGUCAGGAGUGACUAGCAGACCUUUAUGAUGUGGGAUUAGAGAUUAAGUGAACACACCCUUGCUAAAGGCAUUAUCAGGUUGGUUUAUGGUCUUUCAUGGACCUUAAUUAAGAGGUUUGUUAGGCUAAGAAGGAUUGGGGGAGUUAAGAACUAAAAAAUGUCACCACUGAGUUAGGAACUGUUAGUAGGCUAGUGCUGGAUAUCUGGUUAACAUCGUCCGGUACACUACAGCAAGACUAAAAGAGAAAAAGAAAAAGGUGUGUAUCUAUGCAAAUUUCGCUAAUAUGGAGAUAGAAUUUCACUAAUAUGGACAUAGUGAUUGGGAGAAUCAUUUGACUUAUUAUAAACUUUAAAAAUGUUCACAGAGUAAAACAUAAUUGGGUUCUAAUUCAUAAAGAAAGUCAUUUCCAUUAGACUCGUAUUACAAAAAAAAAAAAAAAAAAAAGUCAUCCUAAAUCUUAACGUACACAUGCUUUAUCAAAAGAAUUUCCGGACCCAGAAAUCAAAGGCACUUCAAAAGUCUCAUUUCCUGUCUUGAGUUUGUUUUAACAUAUUCCUCCCGCAAAAACGCUCUGGAAAUCAAAGAAAACUUUUUAAAAAUUUAAUUCAAUAAAAAUGACACCGACUGGCUGAAUUAUGAUGGGUUCUGAGUGGCGGUUGAAAUAACACAUUUUUCCUCUAUUUCCUCUCUCUCAUUUUUUUUUUUUUUUUUUGGUUGCGAAGAGGUGUUCUUUUCCGGGCCACCUUCACCCUCCCGCACUCCCCAGUUCUACCUUUCCAAGGCUGGGGAAGGUGCAUCCUCGCCAGGCUCCUGCCCGUGCC
Macaca fascicularis (crab-eating macaque) is the source of this 2202-nucleotide long non-coding RNA. The record is from Ensembl. Lineage: Eukaryota; Metazoa; Chordata; Mammalia; Primates; Cercopithecidae.